UAAUAAGUGUUUUAUGGCACUUUUUAAAUCCAUAUCCACCUUGUGUGCAAUGUCGGUCGAUCUUCUUUUUUGAGGAUCGACCAAACAUCAACCUUUAUUUUUAACCUCUUUGUCUGAAAAUAUUUGAAUAAACAAUUCAAAAUAC
RNAcentral lists this unclassified non-coding RNA (145 nucleotides) under soil metagenome. RNAcentral's name for it is "partial internal transcribed spacer 1". The record is from RNAcentral.